AUUGAACGCUGGCGGCAUGCCUUACACAUGCAAGUCGAACGGCAGCACGGGAGCAAUCCUGGUGGCGAGUGGCGAACGGGUGAGUAAUAUAUCGGAACGUGCCCAGUCGUGGGGAUAACGUAGCGAAAGCUACGCUAAUACCGCAUACGAUCUAUGGAUGAAAGCGGGGGCUCGCAAGACCUCGCGCGAUUGGAGCGGCCGAUAUCAGAUUAGGUAGUUGGUGAGGUAAAGGCUCACCAAGCCGACGAUCUGUAGCUGGUCUGAGAGGACGACCAGCCACACUGGGACUGAGACACGGCCCAGACUCCUACGGGAGGCAGCAGUGGGGAAUUUUGGACAAUGGGCGCAAGCCUGAUCCAGCAAUGCCGCGUGCAGGAUGAAGGCCU
This 386-nucleotide ribosomal RNA is filed under the name uncultured bacterium. RNAcentral describes it as "bacterial SSU rRNA". It matches the Rfam family "Bacterial small subunit ribosomal RNA", at positions 30 to 417 of the family's 1533-position model. The record is from RNAcentral.